This 1891-nucleotide small RNA is filed under the name Rattus norvegicus (Norway rat). Its description in RNAcentral is "uncharacterized LOC102548655". Lineage: Eukaryota; Metazoa; Chordata; Mammalia; Rodentia; Muridae. The record is from RNAcentral.
GAGGCAGAGGCAGGAGGAUCUUUGUGAGUAAAAGGCCAGUUUGGUCUACAGAGUGAGUUCCAGGACAGCCAGAGUUCUAUAGUGUGGAUAGUUAAUACAAUGUAAGUAUUUGGACAAUUAGGGUAGGGGAUAAUGAAAUCUUCAUCUAUUAAAAGUGGGAGCCUACAGGGGCUGGAGAGGUGUCUCAGAGGUUAAGGGCAGCCAGGUUCAGUUGUCAGCAUUCAUAUGAUAGGAUGUAACCAUCCAUAACUUCACCCCUAGGAGAUGGAUACCCUCUUCUGCCUUCUGAGGAUACCGGCAUGCACAGGGCACACAUGAAAGCAAGAUAAACAUAUACAAUAGAUUCAGUUUAAGACUAGGAAGCCCACAAUAUCAGGAAAUAUCAGUAUACCACUUUUGUCCUUACAUUAUCUGCUAAUAAUUUUAGUAGGGGGCUUUCACUAAGGUCCAUGAGAAACACCUGUUUAUCGCUUUCUUGACUUGAAAUGCCUUUAUCUUAUUUUUGCAUCAGGAGAGAGUUGACUCAGAAAAUGACUUGGGAAAUGUUUCUUUUGUGUUUUCACGGAGUUGAAUAGGGCUGUUAUUUCCUCCUUGUGCAUUCGAUAGACUUCACAAAUAAAAUAUUUGAAUAUUAGAGUGUAACUUAGCAUGGUUAUAGGGAAAAUGUGUAACAGUUCACAUCUUGGUGGCAAAGUAAAUCUGUUUGGUUUGGAAAAAUGUACACCCUAGAAGCUUAGCUCAAGAACUUCUAAAUUGAAAUAGAGAAAAAAGAAAACUUAUUUGUAGGGAAAAUUUACAGUAGAAUUAUUUACCAGGCCAAAUGCUGACAACUUCUUGGAUAUUCAGUGACGGAGGGAUGUCUAGAAAUAAUGUAACUUAUUGUAAUGACAUAUUAAUAGUAGGUCUAAGGGUUAUAUUCCUGUGUAUAGAAAAGACAUAUGAGAGUGUACUAGUGAAGUGCAGAACUCAUUCCACAACACAGGGCGUGCUCUGCUUUCUCGACAGGGUGGCUGGCGGAUCGGCUGCUGCGGCCAUGGUCUAAGGCCCUCCGGACACCUGGACAGUAUCCAUGGCACCACAACAAGGUGAGUGCCAAGCAAAUCACCCAGCCCGGAACAGAACAUCAGAGGAGCAACUUUCUCAUACGUGUAUAAACUGUGUCUGCUGGCUUAGUGCUAGUCAAUUUAUAAAGAAAAUUAGUUUAUAAUCUUCAUGAGGAGAAACUAACUGGGGAGGGGUGGGGCAGGCAUGACUGCCCUUGUCAGGCUGAGGCACUUGGGCUGUGUCCACGCCCACUUCUGGAGAGAGCCAUGUCAGUAGAUAACAUGCCUUCAAUCGUAAAUAGCAAGUUACUCUAUACGGGGUAUCUUUGCCCCCACUCCCUUCUCUGUUAUCAUGGUUAAUUGUGUCAACUUGACUGCAUUGAGGGGACCCCAAGAAACUAGUGAAGCAUACCCUUGGCUCUGCCUGUGAGGGCUUUUCCAGUGACAACGAGAUCACAAAGCCUGACCUAAUGAAUGGAUGGUUUCAUCGAUUGAUGGGUUCAAGCUUUGAGUGAACUACUGGAGAAGAAAGUGUCUCCUCUGUGCUUGACCCUGCUCAUCCCCAGUGACCCUGUCCCCUAUUCUGGAGGAAAUGAGUGCGUCACAGAUAAGCCAAGAAGAAUCUCGACAGACAAGUCUUGCUGAGUUCCCCAUGCAGUCAGUUAGCAACCACGGCUUCUCACCGGAGUCCACGUAAGAACCCAAAAGGACUGCAGCCUCUGGAGAGUUGGCAGAGAGACAGACUUGUGGGUCUUCCUACAGAGGGUGCGGACUCCACACACCCUUUCUCAUACUUUACUGUGACUGUCCUUUCAUCUGUAUCCUUUGUAAUAAAGCAGCAGAUGUGA